RNAcentral lists this ribosomal RNA (202 nucleotides) under Billgrantia campisalis. RNAcentral's name for it is "partial 16S ribosomal RNA". It matches the Rfam family "Bacterial small subunit ribosomal RNA", at positions 1 to 210 of the family's 1533-position model. The record is from RNAcentral. Lineage: Bacteria; Pseudomonadati; Pseudomonadota; Gammaproteobacteria; Oceanospirillales; Halomonadaceae.
UUAAACUGAAGAGUUUGAUCAUGGCUCAGAUUGAACGCUGGCGGCAGGCCUAACACAUGCAAGUCGAGCGGAAACGAUGGGAGCUUGCUUCCAGGCGUCGAGCGGCGGACGGGUGAGUAAUGCAUAGGAAUCUGCCCGGUAGUGGGGGAUAACCUGGGGAAACCCAGGCUAAUACCGCAUACGUCCUACGGGAGAAAGCAGG